GUCCACGCCGUAAACGAUGGAUACUAGCUGUUUGCUCGUAAGACUGAGUGGCUAAGCGAAAGUGAUAAGUAUCCCACCUGGGAGUACGAACGCAAGUUUGAAACUCAAAGGAAUUGACGGGGCCCGCACAAGCGGUGGAGCAUGUGGUUUAAUUCGAUGAUACGCGAGGAACCUUACCAGGGCUUAAAUGUGUUUUGACGGAUUUUGGAAAACAGAUCUUUCGCAAGACAAAAUACAAGGUGCUGCAUGGUUGUCGU
RNAcentral lists this ribosomal RNA (257 nucleotides) under uncultured bacterium. RNAcentral's name for it is "partial 16S ribosomal RNA". It matches the Rfam family "Bacterial small subunit ribosomal RNA", at positions 793 to 1055 of the family's 1533-position model. The record is from RNAcentral.